GGCUCUGUGGUGCAAGGGACAGUGUGUUAGACUUCUAAAGACCAGGAAAAGCCAUUCAAAGGUUGUGGGUUUGAAUCCCACCAGAGUCA
This 89-nucleotide transfer RNA is filed under the name Pelodiscus sinensis (Chinese soft-shelled turtle). It matches the Rfam family "tRNA". From Rfam's summary of the family: Transfer RNA (tRNA) molecules are approximately 80 nucleotides in length. Lineage: Eukaryota; Metazoa; Chordata; Testudines; Trionychidae. The record is from Rfam by way of RNAcentral.